Bos taurus (domestic cattle) is the source of this 3737-nucleotide long non-coding RNA. The record is from Ensembl. Lineage: Eukaryota; Metazoa; Chordata; Mammalia; Artiodactyla; Bovidae.
ACUCUGGAUAGCUGGCUAAGAGGAAGGGAGAAAAUUUCAAGGGGCUGCAUCUUUCUCAUUCCUGCUAUUUGCUGCAAGCCUGUUAUGUUUCUUCCAGCAGAUGCCUGAUUCACACAAGUAGCUGCUCCCCUCACCGGUAAACAAGUGUAUGCCAUCUACAAACAGCAAGGGCGCCAGGUCUGCGAAGGGAGAGAGAAACCUCCAAACGCCCAACCCACUCCAAAUGGCUUUGAUGGUGUUUUUUUUCCACCAGGGCUGAACUCUGCAACUCUCACCCAGAUGCGCCUCGGUGUGGAAUGCAGCCGGGAACCGCUGGGGACCAGGGAGUCAGCCAUUCCUGAGAGGCACGCGGCCCACCCUGAGCAUGGGCACCGUGUCCUGAGACCUGACUCAAGAUUAACUUCAAUUACCUACACGUCUGCUAGAGCACCUCAACAAAUUAAAACUGCUGAAAGUGAUGAAGGAGAGGAAGGACCUGGGUCUCUGGAGAAACAAAUGGUCUCCUCCCUCCCCCACCAUCAUCUCUGUUCUCUUAAAUUACUCAACUAAACAAGCAACUGUUUCUCACAGGAAAACUCGAGACUCUGAGUCUGAAUGUGAAAACCCCGUGGUUAAGCCCUGGCUUGCAGAAAACUAAAAACUUCAGUGACUCUGGAAUGAGAUGUUAUGUUCAGAGCUAUACGAAGCGCUGCAGCUGUUCUCAGCCAACAUGGAAACCGAAAAGGGUGAUGCUAUCUUUAUCCUCUACCUACGGCCAAAGCUGAUCCCAUCCUGGGCAGGAGUCAGCUCAGUUCUAGGCUGCUGAGCCCAAGAGACAAGAAGGGAAAGGAAAGCAGGGGCUGGCAGGGCACACCUCAGCAACAACACACAACAGACCCACCGGGAAGAAAGAACAUGCAGUUAAUCAUUAAAAAUUUGAAAAGGAUGCAAGGAAAUGGAACCGCCUGAAAAGCUGUUUCUAAACGCCAUUUGGAAAACCUGUGUCAAUCGGGUCAAAAUUCAAAAGACUGGAUCGCAUCUGACUUGACCUGAAUUUCCCAAGUGGAAAGAGAACCCUUUUAUCCAUUUUCUUGGAAGAAAAAAAAACAUACUUCCCUAUGCAAACUCAGACAGCGUCUUCAGACCACCUCAUGGAGUCAGGCCCUAGAUGAGCAUCUCAGAGAGGGCAGAUGAUGAGGGAAAAUGAGCCCAAUCAGGAGGGAAGGUGCUGGGAACGGGGAUUCAUCCCAGCCCGGAGCUGGCACACAGGCUGACUGAAGAGCACGUUCCCCGGUGCAACGGCACCGCCUCACUCUGAGCAAACGUCUCCCCCGCCACUCCUGGCCGUGCACCCCCAGCCCCAGCCGGCCUGUCGGCAAUGCAACCACCAACGAAUGGAACUGUGGCGAGGGGCUUGGCGCGGUGUGAUCUGUCACUGACACACCACGCUUCCUGCUCAUGCCGCCGGCCCAUCUUCAUUCAAGAGACAGCAACAAAACGGCCGUGGGGUGGCCAGCAAGCAGGACGGCACAGGGGCUGGCGAAGGAGCGGACUUGGGAGCCACGCUGCCCAGGUUCAAAUCUGGCCUCUUCCCCUUGCCUGCUGUGGCGGAACCACCCUCAGCUGCAGAACCUCUAUCGGCCUUGGUUUUCUUAAGACGACAGUAACGCCUAUUUCACGUGGCGGCUGCGAGACCGAGGAGUUACCCGGGAAAGUGCUUAAACAGAGUCUGAAGACUUCCCUGGUGGUUCAGUGGUUAAAAGACUCUGUGCUCCCAAUGCAUGGGGCAUGGGUUCAAUCCCUGGUCAGGGAACUAAGAUCCUGCAUGCUGCACCGUGUGGCCAAAAAAAUAAAAGAAUACACACAGUCUUGGGGAGAAAGCAUCAAUUCCCCCAUGCGCAUCAGGACUUCAGAGCUGAUCUGCUAACUAGCAGCCCAACAGGCCCUGAAGACAUUCCGUUCACCCAGGGCCGUGCUUCUCAAACGUUAACACGCUUCCAGAAAGCUCACUGAAACAGAUCUGGGCCCCACCUCUGGUUUCUCACUGGAAGGUCUGGGGUAGGGCCUAACCAUCUGUGUUUCCAACAAGCUCCCAGGUGAUGCUGCCGCUCUGAGCCUCACACUUUGAGGACCACGGCUCUGUGGACCACUUGACUCCUUGUGUUCUAUGCUUCAGGCCUAAGCCUUGGUUUGUCUAUCUGCGCAGGGAGCCUGGAUGAGACAACCCAAGGAGAAGGGCAACGUGGCUCACUGCACGGAGAAGGCCCGAGGGUCCCUCCACACCGCCCAGCACCCUGCGCCUCCACACCCUGCAGGUGGUAGGUUCUGGCCAAGGGGCUGCGAGCAAAGACAACACACACCACUUCCAGUCUGAAGCUUUAAAGCGCCUGCUGGCCUGCCGGCUCUCUCCUUACAGUGGCGGCCUGGGGGCAUGCGCAGAGCUGGGGGGUGGGGGGUGCAGGACCCUGGGUCACUGCCUGGAAAGGAGGUACUCGAGAGAGCUGCCGGCCUGCAACAGACUUCACAUGAAAAGCAAUGCCAUCCUAUGUGCUGUGCCACUGGGGUUUUAAUAUUUGUUUGAUCGCUUUAGCUUAAGCCCACUGAAACAAUUCCUAUCACCAGUAUAAAAAGGACCUUUACGCCAGCCGUAAGUCCAUUCUAUCAAACACAGAUGUAAUGUAUCUUGUAACAAAACUGAUUAGCUAGGAUUUCUACUCUCAUUCACUUAUUCAAAUGAGUUUCUUUUUUUUUUCUCCAACAUUCCAUUUUGGGGUCUGUUUUUCACCAGAUAUAAAACUUCUUCACUGCAGCAUGAUUGUGUAACAGUUACCAACAAUUUUGAACAAUCUAAAUAUACUAAGAAGCACUGAAGAUGUGAAAAAUAAAUACAGUGAAGAACAUGAAACUGUGUGUAUGUGUGCGUGCGCGCACACACACACACACACACACACACACACACACCAACCAGAAUCCCUGGACUCUAAAAGGCAGGUCAGAAGAAAAGGGUUUUAAUUUUACUUAUUAAAUCAUGAGCAAACUGAUAUCAUAUUUUGCCCAAACAGGAAAAGGUAAUCUCUUUAAGGUAAAAGCAUCACCACUGAACCACAAAACUGCUCCUUAAAAUAAUAAUAAUAAUUUCUAGUUAACCUAGAAAAAUUUGCCCAUCCAGGUUGAGCCGUCCACAGUAUACCACCUUCCAUUUUAUGUGGAAAAAACAAUAAAUCCCCACCUCCAAGAACCACACAGCCAAAACAAAAUGUAAUCUACAACAACCCAUCAACUAAAACUAGAAAAUUUAUGAAAUACACAAAAUUGAAAGAACUGGGGAAAGAGAAUUUUUAAAUACGCGCUAGAACCACAUACAGGUCCUUCUGGUCUGUGAAGCAAACAGCACUUCUCUGGAGGGCUCUCUGCGGAGGACUUAGCUAAGUGGGAUCUAUGACGCACCUCAGAGGUGGGGGGCUUUCUUGCUGGAAUUCUCCCUAGCAGGAGGAAAAGCCCCUUGAACACACAGAAACAUUUUAAAACUCAGCUCCUCGGGGGCUGGGGGGUGCUCUGCUUCCCCGUGAGCACCGGCAGAGCUGAGCUGAGGAUGAAGAGCCCUGCUGCCCUGGCCUUCUCAAGUUCCUAGGCCCUUGAGCGCCUCAUGCUCUGGGUGUGUCACGUUCCACCUCUUGAGGUACUUCCACGUGGCCAAAAAGGAAAAAAAAAAAGGUAAACACUCGUACAAUGCAUUUGCUCACCUAUUAUAACUCAGC